Molecule: ribosomal RNA, 254 nt
Filed under: uncultured bacterium
Lineage: Bacteria
Description: partial 16S ribosomal RNA
Rfam family: Bacterial small subunit ribosomal RNA
Source: RNAcentral
UACGUAGGGUGCGAGCGUUGUCCGGAAUUAUUGGGCGUAAAGGGCUCGUAGGCGGUUUGUUGCGUCAGGAGUGAAAACUCGGGGCUUAACCCCGAGCCUGCUUCUGAUACGGGCAGACUAGAGGUAUGCAGGGGAGAACGGAAUUCCUGGUGUAGCGGUGAAAUGCGCAGAUAUCAAGAGGAACACCUGAGGUGAAGACGGGUUGCUGGGCCGACACUGACGCUGAGUGCGCGAAAGCCAGGGGAGCAAACGGG